CUUGCUCCGGAGUUAGCGGCGGACGGGUGAGUAACACGUAGGUAACCUGCCCCUUAGACUGGGAUAACUCCGGGAAACCGGAGCUAAUACGGGAUAAUAAAGAGAAUCGCCUGAUUUUCUUUUGAAAGACGGCGUCUAGCUGUCACUAAGGGAUGGACCUGCGGCGCAUUAGCUAGUUGGUAAGGUAACGGCUUACCAAGGCGACGAUGCGUAGCCGACCUGAGAGGGUGAUCGGCCACACUGGGACUGAGACACGGCCCAGACUCCUACGGGAGGCAGCAGUAGGGAAUCUUCCGCAAUGGACGAAAGUCUGACGGAGCAACGCCGCGUGAGUGAGGAAGGCCUUCGGGUCGUAAAGCUCUGUUGUGAGGGAAGAACAAGUGCCGGCGUAACUACCGGCACCUUGACGGUACCUCACCAGAAAGCCACGGCUAACUACGUGCCAGCAGCCGCGGUAAUACGUAGGUGGCAAGCGUUGUCCGGAAUUAUUGGGCGUAAAGCGCGCGCAGGCGGCUUCUUAAGUCUGAUGUGAAAUCUCGGGG
RNAcentral lists this ribosomal RNA (542 nucleotides) under Bacillus sp. AmSamHD59. RNAcentral describes it as "bacterial SSU rRNA". It matches the Rfam family "Bacterial small subunit ribosomal RNA", at positions 80 to 607 of the family's 1533-position model. The record is from RNAcentral. Lineage: Bacteria; Bacillati; Bacillota; Bacilli; Caryophanales; Bacillaceae.